RNAcentral lists this ribosomal RNA (378 nucleotides) under uncultured bacterium. RNAcentral describes it as "bacterial SSU rRNA". It matches the Rfam family "Bacterial small subunit ribosomal RNA", at positions 29 to 398 of the family's 1533-position model. The record is from RNAcentral.
AACGAACGCUGGCGGCGCGCCUAAUACAUGCAAGUCCAGCGAGAAGACGUAGCAAUACGUUUGUAAAGCGGCGAACGGGUGAGGAAUACAUGGGUAACCUACCCUCGAGUGGGGAAUAACUAGCCGAAAGGUUAGCUAAUACCGCGUACGCUCCUUGGACUUCGGUUCAGGGAGGAAAGCGAUACCGUGGGUAUCGCGCUCAUGGAUGGGCUCAUGUCCUAUCAGCUUGNGGUGAGGUAACGGCUCACCAAGGCUUCGACGGGUAGCUGGUCUGAGAGGACGAUCAGCCACACUGGCACUGCGACACGGGCCAGACUCCUACGGGAGGCAGCAGUAAGGAAUAUUGCGCAAUGGGCGAAAGCCUGACGCAGCGACGCC